Molecule: non-coding RNA, 90 nt
Organism: Mycena haematopus
Lineage: Eukaryota; Fungi; Basidiomycota; Agaricomycetes; Agaricales; Mycenaceae
Source: the annotation of a GenBank genome assembly
GACCCAGGGCGGAGUGGUCCGCACCCACACCCUGUUUUUAUAGCUGAUAUAUUAUAGUGGGUGUCCCUGGUUCGAACCCAGGCUGGGUCA